CAUGUUUUCUAAAGUUAUCAUGUUGUAGUAAAACGUCCAUAUCUCCCAAUUCCAACGUCGGAUCGGACUCCUCUUUGGUUAUGUUGUUCCUAAGAGGUUUAUCUAGCAAUUUGACCGUUCGGAUCGUCGUUUGGACUUUUUUAGGUCAACCGGACUUGUGAAGCGGACAUGCUGGGUAGAACCGACUCUAUAACCGGACUUGUUGGGUAGAACCGGCCGUAGGUCCGGUUCUCUUUGUUUUUGCAUAUUUAAGCCCGUUUCUGCGACCUAAUCAGCCCCCAUUCAUUCUUUAAAACCCUAAACUCAUUUCUAACUCUUUUCCAACCGUUCCCACCCCAUUUUUUUUUGCCUUAGACAAUUGAUAAGUGUUUUAAUCCUUUUAAUUCAACUUUAAUCUAUGGUUUUUCAUUCAAAUUGAAUUUUGGCUCAUGUCUUCGUUCAAUCUCAUUCUUGUAGCGUUGGAAUCAUCUCAUUUAUGAUAUUUCUUAUGUAAUACCCCAAAUAUUUUAAGAUAAUUAAGUCGUGCCACGUGUCGUGAAUUCCGAUAAAUUAAAUUAAGAAAAAUUUAAUUUAAUUAUAUCGGGAAUUUAGAAUAAUUUUUAUUAAGCGGAUUAGCGGAAUUUAAGGAAAUAACUUCGAAAAUUAAUAUAAAAUAAAUUAUAAAUUCCGUAAUGAAAUUUAUUUUGCCAAGAUCCGCGAAAUAUUUUAUAGUAUUUAUGAUAAAUGUUUCGAGUCAAUCGGAGACCGUUUAAAAUUUGGACGCGGAUAGGUUUUGGACUAAAUUGCAACUUUUGAAACGUUUCAAGGACCAAAGUGUAAUUUAACCUUAUAUAUAUAAGAUUUCCUUCAAAGUGAAGGUUCCAGACCUCAAACAUCAGAGUUCAUUUUCAUUCCUUCAACAAUUCCGUCGUUUUUGUCGCACGAUUCCGUUUCUCGUCCGUUUCCGACGUUCUAUAGCUCGAAUCGAUCAUAUUUCAUGGGAAAAUCACGGUACUUUGGAGCAUCGUGGAAGCAUUUUGAUACAAAAGAUGGAAAAGUCGACGGAAAAGAGGCGAAAGCUCAUUUGCAAGUCUGAAAACCGACUCCUCUGCACUAAUUGGCAAAUUGGAACCAGCUAGAAGCCUCAAAUGAAUUUUUGUUCUUCAUGAAAGUUGAAGUAGACGUCCCAAGCUUUCCAACGGUUCAAGAAUCGACUUAAUCAGACAUUUCUACGCAAAGUUAUGAAGUUUUGAAGAUCGGAGCUGAAACCGUAAUGCCAAGCUCGAAUCGAGCUCACCAAGGCCAAGAGGGAGCUCGAUUCGAGCUCACCGCUCUGAGUUCCAGAAAUUCAAGCUCGAAUCGAGCUUGAGGAGCAAAAAAUCAAGCUCGAUUCGAGCUUAGGCUUGUGUAAAGGGGGAAAUUUGAUUUCAAAUGCUUCAAGGCUUGAUUCUCUUUGCUUCUUUGGGCAAAACACUCCUUGAGUGAAUGUUUUUCUUUCCUCUUUUGUAAACAUAUAAAAACUCUUUUAUCUCUAUUUUAGGUUAUGUCGUGAUUUUGUAGAGAAUUGUAAGACAUCUCAUUAUUGUAGCAACACUUUCUCUCUAUCUUUAAAUCAUUGUUCUUAUUGUUCUUACUAAAAGUAGUAAAGGAUCUUCAUAGUUCUUGGUGUUCUUCAAACUAA
Mercurialis annua (annual mercury) is the source of this 1660-nucleotide long non-coding RNA. RefSeq lists it as uncharacterized. The transcript has 2 exons. The record is from RefSeq and is a predicted model, not a curated record. NCBI's taxonomy places the organism in Eukaryota, Viridiplantae, Streptophyta, Magnoliopsida, Malpighiales, Euphorbiaceae.